This is a non-coding RNA of Octopus bimaculoides (California two-spot octopus), 107 nucleotides long. The record is from Rfam. NCBI's taxonomy places the organism in Eukaryota, Metazoa, Mollusca, Cephalopoda, Octopoda, Octopodidae.
GUACACAAUUCGGCAGUACAUAUACUAAAACUCAAACGAUGCACAGAAAUUUAUCAUGGCUUCUGAAUAGGAAUCAUACACAUAUUAGUGAAGCGUUCCAUAUUUUC